This is a long non-coding RNA of Triticum dicoccoides, 105 nucleotides long. RefSeq lists it as uncharacterized. The transcript is spliced from 2 exons. The record is from RefSeq and is a predicted model, not a curated record. Lineage: Eukaryota; Viridiplantae; Streptophyta; Magnoliopsida; Poales; Poaceae.
CAAUGCGGCUAAAACAUAUAAGCCUUUUAAUUCUAGCAUGGGGAAAGGUACGAAUACAGGUUGGAGUAAAUUCAAGACAAGCCAAGCUGCCUCUCCUGAGAAACA